RNAcentral lists this ribosomal RNA (253 nucleotides) under uncultured bacterium. RNAcentral's name for it is "partial 16S ribosomal RNA". It matches the Rfam family "Bacterial small subunit ribosomal RNA", at positions 524 to 776 of the family's 1533-position model. The record is from RNAcentral.
GACAGAGGGUGCAAACGUUGUUCGGAAUUACUGGGCGUAAAGCGCGUGUAGGCGGCUAUGCAAGUCGGAUGUGGAAGCCCUCGGCUCAACCGGGGAAGUGCACCCGAAACUGCAAAGCUAGAGUCUCGGAGAGGAUCGUGGAAUUCUCGGUGUAGAGGUGAAAUUCGUAGAUAUCGAGAGGAACACCGGUGGCGAAGGCGGCGAUCUGGACGAUGACUGACGCUGAGACGCGAAAGCGUGGGGAGCGAACAGG